RNAcentral lists this long non-coding RNA (3243 nucleotides) under Sus scrofa (pig). RNAcentral's name for it is "lncRNA (ENSSSCG00015043560.1)". The record is from RNAcentral. Lineage: Eukaryota; Metazoa; Chordata; Mammalia; Artiodactyla; Suidae.
UUUUUUUUUUUUUUUUUUUUUUGCUUUUUAGGGCCACACUUGCAGCAUAUGGAGGUUCCCAGGCUAGGGGUUGAAUUGGAGCUACAGCUGCCAGGCUAUGCCACUGCCACAGCAAUGCAUCUGUGACUUAUAGCACAGCUCAAUGCAAUGCUGGAUCUUUAAUCCCCUGUGCAAGGCCAUGGAUCAAAUCCGCAACCUCAGGGUUACUAGUUAGUUUCAUUUCCACUGUGCCACAACAGGAACUCUGAGAAAAUGGGUUUUAAAAACUAGAAUUCUUUCCUUCCAAUUUUGUUAAUACAUUCUCUACAUAUUUAUUACAUGCAAAGUUACUAUGAGGCAGUUGUCUUGCAUUUGAGCUUGUUUUAGAAAAUAUAGUUGCAUACUUGGAAGAGUCUCUCAAUCUCUACAAAUUUUAAUUGUGUUUUCAAAUCCUCUUACUCUUAGACUAUUUUUUUUUGGUCUUUUAUUCUAUCAGAUACUGAAAUAAAUGUGUUCCAAUCUUUCAGAAUAAUUGUGAAUUUAUCUCUUUUAGAGCUACCAAUUUUUGUUUUAUAUAGUUUGUCUUUGUUUUUACAUACAUUCAAAUUUAGAAUUUUUUUUUUNUUUUUUGUCUUUUUGCUAUUUCUUGGGCUGCUCCCCUUGGGAACCUCCAUAUGCUGUGGGUGCGGCUCACAAAAUACAAAAGACAAAAAAAAAUUUUUUUUUUUUGGCUAUGGCAUGCAGCAGCUUCCAGACCAGGGGUUGAACUCAAGCUGCAGCAGUGAUAGCACCAAGUCCUAACCAAUGGGCCACCAGGGAACCCUGCCCCCCUUUCUUUACUCUUAUUCUUAGGGGAUACCCUCAAGAUUUAGGACUUUGGGAGAUUUAUCAGGCCCCUCCUCCUUAGAAGGAACUUAAUUCUACUCUUUUUCCCUUUAAUAAAUUUGUCGAAAAACUAUCUUAAGCUUCUUGCCCAAUAUCUGCUUUGAAUUAGCAAACAGCUCUUUUUAAUAAAUAGUUGCAAAUUCCAGAGUUAAUGCCUUAUCUCUAAUCUUAUCCCUGCAGUUUUUCACUUCCUUAGUGGCUCUCCAUUGCUGUUACAAAAAUUAAAUACAUUUAAGAUUUUCUUCCCCCUUUUUUAGUUCUCAAAGGGAAUAUUGGUUCCUACUCUGCCAUUAGCAGUUUUCAAUACAUGGACAUAACUGUUCCUAUUUAAGGAAUAUAGAAUCCAAAAAUAUAUAUUUUAGCCAUGCCCAUGGCAUGUGGAAGUUCCUGGGCCAGGGAUCUCAAACCUGAGCCACACCAUGACCCAAGCCGAUUGGGUCCUUAACCUACUGCACCAAAAGAGAACUCCCCCAACAUAUUUUUUUAAAUUAUACACACUUUCCAAACUAACCGAAAAAUGAAAGUGCGCUGAUUUGCAACAUCAGUCCCAAUUUUUGUUGCUAAGACUUAAGGCAUUCACUCUUUUUGUUAAAGACUUUUUAAACUUUGAUGUAUAUAAGAAAAUUACUCUCGUGUUGUCAGAUUUUAUGGUAGCUGCCAAACUUUAGUAAAAGUAGGAGUUUGACUAAGAGCCUCUCACUCUCAGAUUUCUUCUUUAAUGGUAUGGUUUUUUCCUUUGGAUAAUUAAUAGAACAUUAAGUUAAUGAAAAUUGGUGUUAAGAGCCCAGGGGUUUGUAAGUAAAUGAUUCUCAACCUGUUUAUUCUCAGGUACAUUAAAAAAAAAUGCAAUUCUACAUUACCAAGCAAAAAAAAAAACAAAACCAAACAAAACAAAAAAGAGAGAUACUUGACCUUUUGUAAACACACUAUUAAUCCCUGGGUGAAAGGAAGGCUGUUUUGUGGGCCUUCAUAUAUCUCAAAGGGCACUUGGGAAUUGAUUGAGGAAUGGGUGAUGGAAAAUUAUCAGUGGAAUAUGAGAGCUUAAUCUUAAAUACAAAUAAGUUCAUUUGUAUUUAUAGUAAAACUUUUUUCAAUUUUUUAAAAUUUCCCCACCCAUUUUACAAUAUAAGUUUUUCUUUUUUUCCCUUUAUCUUUUUCUUUUCUUUUUUUUUUUUUUUUUUUUUGUCUUUUGUGUUUUUAGGGCUGCCCCCUUGGCAUAUGGAGGUUCCCAGGUUCGGAGUCGAAUUGGAGCUGUUGCUGCCUACACCUACGCCACAGCCACAGCAAUGCCAGAUCUGAGCCACAUCUGCAACCUAUACCACAGCUCACAGCAAUGCCGGAUUCUUAAUCCACUGAGCAAGGCCAGGGAUGGAACCCACAACCUCAUUGUUCCUAGUCAGAUUCGUUUCCACUGCACCACAAUUGGAACUCCCUGAACAAAUGUAUUUCUUUUGUCACACCUGUGGCAUGACAGGAAUCAAACCUGCAACACAGCUGUACUAGAGCCACAGUAGUGACAUCUGUAGCCUGCUGACCUACGAGGGAACUCCCUAAAUGUAUUUUAACACACACAUGUGCACACACAUAAAACUGUGUAAAUGUGACUUUUUAAAUGUAAUACAUUUUAUCUCUUGAAUUUUGUACUUUCCUCCACUCUUUGCAACUCUAGCCAUCAGUGAUCUAUCAACAGAUAAGCAAUGCUGAAGAACUCCCCACAUUUUUCUUUUUACUCAUAAUCACAUAUAGACACAAUAAUAUGUUAUCUGUGCACAUAUAUAUGACUAUUUCCAUUGUCUUAAAAUGGGAUUGUAUUAUACACACAUUUUUGCAUUUUUUUGCACUCAGUCAUACUUUUAACCAUCUAAAGAGUCCAUGGUUUGGACAUGCCGUAAUUUGUUCAACCACUUUGCCACUGCCUAUUCACAUUUCCUAGUGACGAAAUGUCUGAUAACCGUCUUGAAGAGGUGGCAUAGCACCAUGGCUAGUAGACAGACAUAAUCAUGCCCUUACCUACUGGAGCUUUUUUUCUCCCCCCUGUAAUAUACUUUUUAGGAGACAGAUGGAUUGGAUUGUGUUUUUUUAUUUUAAUAGUGGUUGCCAGAUUUCUCUGAAAUAAGAUAGCAUUUCAUAUUUUUAAUAUUAGUAUAAAAAUGUACCCUUCCCUCUAUUAAAAAUAGAUGUUACUUUGACCUUGAGGAGUUUUAUGAUUUCAGAAUGAUAACUAAGUUUAUUUUAAUCACAUAUAUUUAUAUGCCUCUUUAAGUAUUACUUGGCCCCUUUGGUAAUCUCCAAGUUGCUUUUAUGAAUGAUAUAUUUUUUCUUUUUGGAUUGUCUUAUCAAUUUUCAUCAGCUUUUUAUAUAUUAAAGGUAGUAACUACU